RNAcentral lists this long non-coding RNA (2373 nucleotides) under Numida meleagris (helmeted guineafowl). Its description in RNAcentral is "lncRNA (ENSNMEG00000005083.1)". The record is from RNAcentral. Lineage: Eukaryota; Metazoa; Chordata; Aves; Galliformes; Numididae.
AGCGAUCAAGUCACCCCUUAACCUUCUUUUCAAUUAAGCUGAGUAAGUUAAGCUCCUUAAACCUUACAUCAUUAAUGCUUGUUUUCCAGGAGCUGGAUCAUUUCUGUGGCCCUUCUUUGAACCUUCCUUAGCAUUUCCACAUCCUUCUCUAGACACAGAGUUGAAAAACAGACACAGUGUCCUCUCACUUAUCUCACCAUUUCUCCACAGAAGCAAAAGAGGAGGGGACGCAGCCUCAUACCCAUUUUCAGGCAUUCAAGGGCCAUUACAAACUUUCGUUUUUGAGGGAAGAAUGUGUUAUAGAGAAUGUAUUAUAUAGAGUGCUAUAUUCCCACAAAACAUUUUAUUCUAGUCUCAUUGUCCAUAAAUUAAAAUCAUUAAGCUGUGCUUUAGUGUUUUUUGGAGCAUGUGGCAUAAAUGCAGUCACUUGAAUUUCAGAUAGUCUUCAGUAUCAGCUUAAAAAAGAGAAAAAAUGGAAAGCGUGUGUGUUUUCCAGAUGCUGUUCUCAUGCCAUGAAUCCUGCAUGCGGACUGCAGAAGGCUCUCAGAGAUGCAAUGAGGUUGAACUUGGCCCUCGGGGAACAACGUUAGCAGGUGAAGUCAUUCUAUGAAGCCACAGAGUCACCGAGUAUUUCUGCAUGGCUCAAACAACUGCCCAGAAGCGAUCUGGUGGGUACCUUCUCCCUCUCCUCUCCCACACUGUUCCCUGUAGGUAGGACCGUGGUUUUGUUCUGCAUGUAUCAAGUCAUUGUACUUACCCUGUGGGGUCACCCAUACAUGUUAAGGCAAGAUCUGGCUUUCAAUGGUAGCUGGCACAGAACACAUUCCUUUCAGGAUAAGAAUUAAACCAAACUACAGAAAUCUUUCUGUUGGCAUACCUAUAUAUACUUUUAAAACAAUCUUUGUGUUCGGUCUGGGCUGACAAAUAGCAGGAUGUGUUUGUCACUAAAGAGAAACAGAGUGAAAAUGAGUAAAGAGGAAAGUAGGGUUAUCCCAUAAAGCCAGAAAAUGGUUCCAAAGCAAGUGGUCUGCAUGGAUCUGUUCUCCUCUCUUGCUCCCUGUGUUACUGUGGUGAGGCUGAAGGCUUCUGCUAUGUACUAAUCCCAGCAUGCUUCAAGUCAUUAUUUUAUUAGAGACUUGAUGAACCAUCACAGGGUCUAGAGAUUGCUCAGAAAAGGAUACUACUUUUUGUCUGUAGUGCUGGAUUCUGACAAUAUCUGAAAAUUACUGAAUUUUCUUGUGUUCGGAUUCCUUGUUUCCUGCCUAUGAAGUUAGUGCUCUGUUGGAUCCCAACGCCACUCAUUUCUUGCUAAGAAACAGACCGAGCUUAUUGAAGGCAGUCAUCAAUUUUACAACUACAGUUCUUACAGUUAGUCAGACAAAUCUUAACUGUCACCUGUUGAAAGGCAUGUCUGAACAGAAUUUGCUCUAAGAGAAAAAAAACACAUCCUUGCUCUGUGUGCAGCUUUGGGUUCCCAGCUGUGAGAUGUGAAGCACAGAACUAGCAGAAGUCCACCAGCAGUGCUGGGUAUUUGCAGGAGGUGCCACACAAGGCAGGCUGAGAGUCUCAGGUAGACCAGAAGGCAACACAGAGAGCCAAGAGGUGCCUGCACCACGAGUUACAGGUUAUUUCUAAACGAGGCAGCAUUUAUUUCAUUAUCCUAUAGCAUUCAUGAGGAAAAAAAAAGUCACGCAGCAACAUUUCCGUCAGCACCUUUGCUCUCCCUUUAUCUUUUGUGGGGAUUAAUGUUUUAAUACUUUAAUAUAUGUAUUUCAAAUGUAUGCUUAAUUAUUUAUAGUUAUAUUUGCUUACCGCACCAGUACAAGUGGGCUUUGUGCUCCUGGCCUUGGAAUAUUGCUCAAUUUCAGUAGCACUUACAAGCUUUUAUACGGAUUAGGCCCCAGUAGCCCACUUGCUGUUUAAAUACAGUAAAAGACUGUGACUGCUCCUAAUUGCUUACUAAGCAACGAUAGCUAUUCAGGAGAGCAUCUGGAGCCUCUUCUGCUCCGCGCAUCAUCAAAAUAAUUCUCAGCUAAAUUCCGAAUGCUAGUCUUCAUUACUGGUAAUUAUGUAACAGGCAGAGAGAUCACAUAAUGCGUUUUGGAGCCGAGCUGAAAUCUGUGAAGAUGGCAGUUAUAUCAUCUGUUGAUUUGCAGAUCGGGCCAGUUUGAUACGGAGUCACUGACAGCAAAUGUAGAGCUCUGCGGAGCUGCUCACACAGUCGCUCCGUUGACUUGGAACAACGGAAUGGAUUUUUAAACUCACUAUAAAAUGGGACAACUAAAGCAACGAGGAAACGUCCAGAAAGACUGCUAGGACGUGCCACGGCUAUCCUGAAAUAAAUGGAUCUGUUUGCAGCUGCUAUCUGAUUGU